RNAcentral lists this long non-coding RNA (2849 nucleotides) under Homo sapiens (human). RNAcentral's name for it is "non-protein coding lnc-TRIM62-3:1". The record is from RNAcentral. Lineage: Eukaryota; Metazoa; Chordata; Mammalia; Primates; Hominidae.
CUCAUAUUUACACAGCGAAAAACUCCUCAGACAAGCGCGCUUCCCAUACGACUCACCAGGACAAAGGGACGAUCCAUGAGGGUAUUUGCUCAGCCUGAGGAAUCCCUGAGGCAAGUCUCACAGAACUGUGCCCAUUCCACAGAUGGAGAAAGCGAAACCCAGAGAGGGACAUGCAGCGUACAGGGACUUGCCAGAGUAGGGUUACCAUAUUUAGCAAAUAAAAUGCAGGAUGCCCAGUUGAAGUUGAAUUUCAGGUAAACGACGAGUAAUGCUUUAGUAUAAGACUAUCCCAAAUAUUGCAAUGAGACACGUAUGCUAAAAAAUUACUCAUUGUUUUUCUGAAUUCAAAUUUAUCUGGAUGUCCUGUAUUUUAUUUGGCGAUCCUACCCCAAGGUCACCUAACUGAGUGGAAAAACAGAAAGCGCUAUUGGGGGGGUCCUACGUGCCUCCCUGCCUGGGGCUCACUAGUGUAUGGAGCUGGCUUGUUCCCAGGUGCUAUUCUGAGGUUAUUUUAAAGGCCCCCAGCUCAUGCCAGUCAAUGGUCUUCCUAGUGCAGGAUCUAGACCUAUUCAGGAGCUGACAAGGAGCCACAUCCCCCACUCCCAUUCAGGGGUACCGCACCACCACCACCCAAACUAGUUUAUUCAAAAGACACUAAGUGUCUACUCUGUGGUAAGCACAGUCUUAGGUUCCAGAUCACACUAGAAAGUAGGAGAAACACUCCCUGUCUUUAUGGAAUCAAUAGGAUUAGAUACGCAGGAAGACAAGUAUUUAGAGAGGAAAACUACAGUACAUUGUGAUCAGUAGUUCUUUAAUAGGGACAAAUACAGGAUGCAUGAAAGCCCGGAGAUGGAACCCCUAAUGAAGGAAUAGAAAGUAAGAGAAAGGAGAGAGACACCCAAGCUGAGGCCUGAAAGAUUCAUUCCUUCAUUCAGUAAUUUCUUGAACAUCUACAUGAAGGACAGUAUUCUAGGCACUGUGGACCCAGCAGUGAACAAAAUAAACAAAUCUUUGCCCUCAGAACUUAAUUCUAAGUGAAAUGUAUAAUAUGUUAGACAGUGAUCUAUGGAGGAAAAAGUAAGGCUCUGAAGGGGAUUAUAGAAUGCUGGGGCAGGAAUGGAAAUGUUACAGUUUUUUUGUUUGUUUGAUUUAGAGAUGGCAUCUCACUAUGUUGCCCAGGCUGGCCUCAAAUUCCUGGGCUCAAGUGAUCCUCCUGCCUCAGCCUCCCAAAGUGCUGGGAUUACAAGAAUGAGCCGUCACUCCCAGCCUGAAGUGGGUAGUCAGGAAGUUCUCACUGAGAACAUUACAUUUGAGCAAAGACCUGAAGGGAUGAGGGAGAGAGAUCUAUGCAGAGAUUUGGGGUUGUAAGUGUGUCUGGCAUGUUACAGGAAAGGAAAGGAAAGGAAAGGAAAGGGCGUGUGAUGAACAAGAUUCCAAUAUGAUAGCUUUCUAAGGGAUUUUCAAUGAUAAUUUUGACCAUAUGAUUCUUGCCUUAAAUAUGGUCUUUAGAGCCUCAUCCCUGUAAAAUAUGACCACAUAAGUUGGUGGGGGCUACUUUGAACAGGAUGUUUGGAAAAGGCCUUCUUGAGAUGGCAACAUUCAAGCCGAGGCCUUUAAGAUGAGAAUGAGCCAAUGCUGGAGUAGCUAAGGGAACAGCAAAGGCGAAGACUUGGAGGCAAGAAAGAAGUCAGUAAAUGUGAGAAACUGAAAUGUGAGAAAAGAGUGGCAUGAGAUGAGGUGGGAGAGGUGGGCAGGGGUCUCAGGCAAUUUAGCUUUUUUUGGCAUCGCAGCGGAAAUCAACUGAAGGGCUUUCAGCAGAGGACUGACAAUCAGAUCAUUUUACUGGUUGAAUUUACACAGGCUUAGCUGUUUACCUAAAGGUGCCAGGAAGAGGGUUUAAAAUGGAGCAAAGGGAUGAGUGGAACCCCUGUCCUCUUGCCUCCCCUUUGUUCCCUUUACAGCUGGAAUGAGAUGGCUUGGGCAGGUGGGUUUCCUAGGUGAGAGAUGACUCCCACCCAGAGAGCCACCAUCUCCCUCUGAGCUGGGGUGAACAGAGUUGACAACUUGCGUCUCUCUGACCUCCUCAAAGUUUCCUGGUUGGAUCCCAUUACUGGGUAUAUACCCAAAGGAUUAUAAAUCAUGCUGCUAUAAAGAUGCAUGCACACGUAUGUUUAUUGUGGCACUGUUCACAAUAGCAAAGACUUGGAACCAACCCAAAUGUCCAUCAAUGAUAGACUGGAUUAAGAAAAUGUGGCACAUAUACACCAUGGAAUACUAUGCAGCCAUAAAAAAGGAUGAGUUCCUGUCCUUUGUAGGGACAUGGAUGAAACUGGAAACCAUCAUUCUGAGCAAACUAUCACAAGAACAAAAAACCAAAUACUGCAUGUUCUCACUCAUAGGUGGGAAUUGAACAAUGAGAGCACUUGGACACAGGUUGGGGAACACCACACACCGAGGCCUGUCGUGGGGUUGGGGGACGGGGGAGGGAUAGCAUUAGAAGAUAUACCUAAUGUAAAUGAUGAGUUAAUGGGUGCAGCACACCAACAUGGCACAUGUAUACAUAUGUAACAAACCUGCACGUUGUGCACAUGUACCCUAGAACUUAAAGUAUAAUAAAAAAAAAAGUUUCCUGACUGGGUCUGCCUUUCAGACUGUGGGCAGAGGUGAAGGAAGUACAUGCCACUACCAGCCCUGAAGGUCUCCUCCCUCCACCCCUUUUGAGUAUACUUUUUUUUCUUUUUUUUAUUUUGAAUACACUUUCAAUUAAUCUUCCCAAAGAUCCUGACGUGCUUCUUCUGCUCCAGAAGCAUAGCGGGCUCCCUACUGCCUACAGAAUUAAGUUCAAACUC